GCUGCACACUGGACAAUUUCGCUCCUCUUCCCGGAAAUGAGAUUUGGGGUUUUCCCACCUGGGAAUUUGAUAUCUAUUGCUUAAUCUCCAGACAGGAACUUCCAGCUGGCAAAUGGUGGACAGUAUCUGAAUCUAAGCAGAUUUAGAGAGGACUAUGAUACAGGAAAGAGGAGCCUGAAGUUGAUGAGGAAAGCAGAAGAGAAGCAUCAUAAAGAAUUGGAAAAUGGAGAGACACAUUCAAAAGGUGCUUUGUCCAAAGAGAGAGAGAAAAACACCAUCAAACAGAAGACUGCAAUAUGGCUCUUUCUCUUACAACUAUGAAACACUCUAGAUCAAUUCAUUCAUUCCCUCCGAUCACACUAAUAUGCUCAAGGAACAUAUAAAUGGGCAACAAGACUGUGUCUACCAGCUAAGCUUCCUCAGUGGUGUAGAGCAUGCCAUUCAUACUCACUGGCAUUCAGGGGCAACCAGAAUUCUCAAAUAUUUGGAGGAAUCAUUUGCACAUUCAACUCUUCAUACUAACAUUCAAUGGGUGGGCCUGCCCUUGGUGGGCAUGGCUAGCAUAAAGGGUCCUUUUUCAGCCUCAUGUGUUUCCUUUGUGAGAGAAGAAAAACAGCCCAUGUGUGUCACAAAUAUGUUAAUCAUAAGCCUAAAAAGUAUAA
This is a long non-coding RNA of Hemicordylus capensis (graceful crag lizard), 662 nucleotides long. RefSeq lists it as uncharacterized. Lineage: Eukaryota; Metazoa; Chordata; Lepidosauria; Squamata; Cordylidae. The record is from RefSeq and is a predicted model, not a curated record. The transcript has 3 exons.